GUGCCAGCAGCCGCGGUAAUUCCAGCUCCAAUAGCGUAUAUUAAAGUUGCUGCAGUUAAAAAGCUCGUAGUUGGAUUUCUGGCUUGGUACAGUUUACCGGCCACGGUUUCGUGUGUUAGUGUUUGCUGUUCUGGCCAUCCUUCCAAUCGCUGCUCACUUUUCUUCAUUGAUUGGUGAGUGGUAUUGGAUCUUUUACUUUGAAAAAAUUAGAGUGUUUCAAGCAGGCUUUAUGCUAUGAAUACAUUAGCAUGGAAUAAUAAUUUAGGACUUCGGUUCUAUUUUGUUGGUUUCUAGGACUGAAGUAAUGAUUGAUAGGGAUAGUUGGGGGUGCUAGUAUUCAGCGGCCAGAGGUGAAAUUCUCGGAUUCGCUGAAGACUAACUUAUGCGAAAGCAUUCACCAAGGAUGUCUUCUUUAAUCAAGAACGAAAGUUGGGGGAUCGAAGACGAUCAGAUACCGCCGUAGUCUCAACCAUAAACUAUGCCGACUAGGGAUGAGUGAACGUUGCAUUUUCGACUUCAUUCGCACCUUAUGAGAAAUCAAAGUCUUUGGGUUCCGGGGGGAGUAUGGUCGCAAGGCUGAAACUUAAAGGAAUUGACGGAAGGGCACCACCAGGAGUGGAGCCUGCGGCUUAAUUUGACUCAACACGGGAAAACUUACCAGGUCCAGACACAGUAAGGAUUGACAGAUUGAAGAUCUUUCUUGAUUCUGUGGGUGGUGGUGCAUGGCCGUUCUUAGUUGGUGGAGUGAUUUGUCUGGUUAAUUCCGUUAACGAACGAGACCUCGACCUGCUAAAUAGUUCGACAAAGGAUUCUUUCUUUGGACGUGACCUCUUAGAGGGACUAUCGGUGUGUAGCCGACGGAAGUUCGAGGCAAUAACAGGUCUGUGAUGCCCUUAGACGUUCUGGGCCGCACGCGCGCUACACUGAUGCAUUCAUCAAGUUUACAACCUUGACUGAGAGGUCUGGGUAAUCUUCGCAACAUGCAUCGUGCUGGGGAUAGAUUAUUGUAAUUAUUAAUCUUCAACGAGGAAUUCCUAGUAAACGCAAGUCAUCAACUUGCAUUGAUUACGUCCCUGCCCUUUGCACACACCGCCCGUC
This 1098-nucleotide ribosomal RNA is filed under the name uncultured eukaryote. Its description in RNAcentral is "SSU rRNA". It matches the Rfam family "Eukaryotic small subunit ribosomal RNA", at positions 564 to 1677 of the family's 1831-position model. The record is from RNAcentral.